AUGAACGCUGGCGGCGUGCCUAAUACAUGCCAGUCGAGCGCACAGAUGAGGAGCUUGCUCCUCUGACGUUAGCGGCGGACGGGUGAGUAACACGUGGAUAACCUACCUAUAAGACUGGGAUAACUUCGGGAAACCGGAGCUAAUACCGGAUAAUAUAUUGAACCGCAUGGUUCAAUAGUGAAAGACGGUUUUGCUGUCACUUAUAGAUGGAUCCGCGCCGCAUUAGCUAGUUGGUAAGGUAACGGCUUACCAAGGCGACGAUGCGUAGCCGACCUGAGAGGGUGAUCGGCCACACUGGAACUGAGACACGGUCCAGACUCCUACGGGAGGCAGCAGUAGGGAAUCUUCCGCAAUGGGCGAAAGCCUGACGGAGCAACGCCGCGUGAGUGAUGAAGGUCUUCGGAUCGUAAAACUCUGUUAUUAGGGAAGAACAAAUGUGUAAGUAACUAUGCACGUCUUGACGGUACCUAAUCAGAAAGCCACGGCUAACUACGUG
RNAcentral lists this ribosomal RNA (496 nucleotides) under uncultured bacterium. RNAcentral's name for it is "partial 16S ribosomal RNA". It matches the Rfam family "Bacterial small subunit ribosomal RNA", at positions 29 to 507 of the family's 1533-position model. The record is from RNAcentral.